Molecule: long non-coding RNA, 2612 nt
Organism: Meriones unguiculatus (Mongolian gerbil)
Lineage: Eukaryota; Metazoa; Chordata; Mammalia; Rodentia; Muridae
Exons: 3
Source: RefSeq, a predicted model, not a curated record
AAUGAAAGUAGCUGUUUUCCUUUUACUUGAUAGGAAAGUAGAGGCAUAUCCACGGUUCCCCCGGCUACCGGUGGUGAAACUCGGCAAGACUGCUGAAGUCAGCGAAAAGCAAGGCUCAAAGCUGCAAGGUUUGCCUGAGACUACAGCCCCGGAGACCCGUGACUUGCAGACUUGCAUUCCCCGGAGCGACCUGCUGGGGGCAGGUGAGGCGGCACAGCAGGCCCUGGGUUACCUGAGAGAUGAAAGCUGGUCCAUUGUCUGACCCUCUGAGAGUGGGUAAUCCAUACCUGCAUAGGAUGUCUUCCAGCAUCUUCUCUCGGCCACUACAUUGGCAGUUUCCUUCUUGGUGGGAGAAAAAGCCUCUACGCAUCCUGAGAAGGUAGUAUCCUGGUGAACCUUAUGGAGAAGCUAUUGAGCAAAGUCCUUAUCAGCUCCAACUGCCCAAUGUCUGGGAUCCAUUCAUGGCCUCCUGGACUCUUCCAAAGGAUUCCGGUCACUUCUCCAGCCCUGCCCUCUGCAGCACACACAAUUUGUCUUCUAGGCUCCAGCUGGCUUCCCUCCACUGCUGCUGCUGUUCUCGGUGGUCAUCCAUAGCACUGACAUCUCCGAAACACCAGGGUCUUCUGCUGCAACUGGGCUGCUCUUUCACCAUCAGCCUUCUCAUAGGCUUUUUUCCUGGUGCCAAGCCUCAGCUGCUCUCCAUAACCCCCUCGUGCCUUCCAAACCAGUACCACCUGGGUGACUCUUACACAACCAAGUUCAAAUGCCAGCACGAGGCACAUCCUUACCCAGUUCUGGAAUACAGCUUCUAUGUGCCAACUCUGAGGAAAACACUUCCCAGGAGAUUUCACCUCAGUGAUGCUGGUCUCUUAAGGCCUGCUGCCGUCUCAGACAAAGCUGCUCCCGUCGGUGAAGAGGACUCAAGCUGUGUCUGGCCGUGGGAUGUAAGUCAGAUCCAGUCAGAUUUUGGAUGUUGUAGCAUGAUGGAGCGCUCAUGCUGGAUCUGGCAAAAGGGUGGCUGUGUUGAGUGCUAGGGAUGGGCUCCUUAAGGCAGAGCUGAGCUUUCAUAGCCAGACUGGCCAGAUCUUGCAGCAGGUCUGUCACAGCUUGAUGACAGGCGUCUAAAUCUGAAGCAGCCACUAGGUAGGUCAUCCACAUACUGUAAAAAGACUAAUGUUGGGUGGGCACGCCUGUACUCACCCAAGUCCUCAUGUAAUGCUUCAACGAAGAUGGAGGGCAAAUUUUGAGCCCUUACGGCAGCCUGGUCCAAGUCAGUUGUCCGAAGCUUUUUGUGUAGAGCCAAUGCAGACUGGUUGACAAAAGUCCAUGGUGAUGACAGUCUGGUUCUCUUGAGCAGUAGGGUCAAAAGACUUAUAGAUGUAUGCGGUAUGCCUCUAGCAAACUUUCCAGGAAGGCGCCCAGACUCUAUCUUUUCCCUGUUUAACUUUGUUUAAAUUUUUGGAAGCACCCCCUGAGAACCUGGCGGUAAACUUGGGAGCCUCUCCUUACCUUCUGCCCUGUUACGAUUCCAGUCGUCAGGGAGGGUGAGUGGAAAAGACACAUCGAUGUCAGCCUGGACCGGGGUGAUUACUCCAUGGGCACCUGGAACCAAUUUCCAGGCAGCUGACAGAAUGCGGUCCCUGUCCAGUUGUGAAAAGGACCUGUAACAGUUGUUGGCAAUCCUCCCACCUGGAUGGAAUCUAAGACGUCAGUAAGUUUAGCUGGCUUCUCAGGAUGUGUAGCUCUGUAGUUCCCAAUUCAUAAAUCACUGCUAUUAAAAGGUGGUGAAUACAGUACCUUUUGUCUCGAGUUACCAUCAGGGGUCCCCAAGGCUCACAAGGGAAGAGUCACAGCUUCCGAUACCGAUGAGCUGCUCCUGACCUGGUGUAUGGUGAGUUCACUAAAGGAUCCGGAGGGAGAGCCUGCCCUCCUCUGGCCAUCCUAUUUUGAAUGUGGGCCAUUGGUUCCCCACAAAAGGUGGUUCAUUUACCCAGGCAAUCAACCAAACUGGAAUCCUCCACAAUUCAGCGGAAAUUGUUGAAGUACUCCAGCACUAAACUCAAGGGGGUAUAGCUUAACUCCCGAUUAGACACUUCAUUCCAAGAAACUACCACAGCAAGGCAACAAGUAAGACGUCGCAAACACAAGCAGACACUAGAGAACAAAAAUGAAACACAGGAAAACGGAAGCAAAACCCAAAUGGGGCUUCAGUUGGUGUCAGCCCGUGAACACGCUAGGCAAAGUCACCGGAUGCCGGCUCAGAAACUGAUUCUCCCACCUGAGAGCCGAAAGGCUCUCCAAGGGAGGUCUGAGUGUUCUCCCGUAGCAUAUUUUAAGCCCAACAUCUGGGUACCAUUUGUUGUCGAAACUUUAACCAACCAAACAAACAAACCCCCAAAACUCUUAUUUACGUUUAUCUUUUUCAUCCCUACUCCACCCCAAUCCCUUCUAACACACCCCAACACCAGGUAGAAGAGAGAAAGGGUUAGUGGGAGAAGGGGCGCAGUUCUCUUUCUGAGCUGCUUCCUGCUGGUUAGGGUCAUUGUUGGGUUCCUUGGAGCCAGUCCAAUCCUUGUUUCAGGAGAUCUCCAACAUCUUGUCUCACAACAGCA